AUACGGAGGGUCCGAGCGUUAUUCGGAAUCAUUAGGUUUAAAGGGUCCGUAGGCGGGAAUCUAAGUCAGUGGUGAAAUCUUGCAGCUCAACUGUAAAAUUGCCAUUGAUACUGGAUUUCUUGAAUUAGUGUGAAGUGGUUAGAACGUGUAGUGUAGCGGUGAAAUGCAUAGAUAUUACACAGAAUACCAAUUGCGAAGGCAGAUCACUAACACUAUAUUGACGCUAAGGGACGAAAGCGUGGGGAGCGAACAGGAUUAGAAACCCCGGUAGUCC
RNAcentral lists this ribosomal RNA (274 nucleotides) under uncultured bacterium. Its description in RNAcentral is "partial 16S ribosomal RNA". It matches the Rfam family "Bacterial small subunit ribosomal RNA", at positions 523 to 796 of the family's 1533-position model. The record is from RNAcentral.